Apis cerana (Asiatic honeybee) is the source of this 1070-nucleotide long non-coding RNA. RefSeq lists it as uncharacterized. NCBI's taxonomy places the organism in Eukaryota, Metazoa, Arthropoda, Insecta, Hymenoptera, Apidae. The record is from RefSeq and is a predicted model, not a curated record.
AUAUUAAUAAAUAAUUGGUAACAUUUUUAUAUAUAAUUCAUAAUUAAAAUAAAAUUGUAGUACUUUCAGAACAAAUGCUCGUUAAGAAGAAAAAGAAAAAUAUCAAAAAGAUAUUCUUUUUCUUCUUUCACUCUCCCUCUAUUAAUUUACUGUUAAUUUCAGAAAAUAUUUGUGACCGCGUGCAAUGCGGUUAAUAGAAUCAGUGUUUUGUUCGUCAUAGUAUUUUUAAAAUUUUGUAGAGCACAAUAGCUCUGAUUAAAUUUAAGAAUAAUCAAACGCGAAGAUAGAGUCAGUGUUUGUUCGCCGAUUAUAAUUUAUUCGGACGCGUUAUUAGUUUCUUAUUUUUUAUUUUUUUUUUAUUCUCAAUAUUCGUUUUCGGUACCGAAUAGAAUCAGUGCUUCUCAAGAGAAUAGGGCGAUCAUCCACCACGCGAAGAGAUGCUGAUGAUCUUUAUGAAGAUUUUUCUUGAACUUUAAUCUUAAAAAAUAUUUGUGACCACGUGCAAUGUGGUUAUUAGAGUCAGUGUUUACUUCGUUUAGUAUUUUGAAUAUUUUUUAGAGCACUACAGCUCUGAUUAAAUUUAAUUAGAAUACUCAAACGCGAAAGUAGAAUCAGUGUUUAUUCGCCGAUUAUAAUUUAUACGGACGCGUUAUUAGUUUCUUAUUUUUCAUUUUUUUUUAUUUUAAAUAUUCGUUUUCGGUACAGGGUAGAUUCAGUGCUUCUCUCAAGAGAGUAAGACGAUCAUCCAUCACGCGAAGAGAUUUCUUCCAUCCUUCUAACUGAUGACGAUCUUCUGGAUGACUUCUGGGCUACUAGUGAAGGCGUUUGUCGCAUCAUACGGUGAGUCGCAUGUUUUUCGUUUCCUCCGGUCACUCAAUCAUGUCGUAGGAUGAAAGAUCCGAAUCGACACCGAGUGACUGGUUGUAUACGUAGAAUUUUGCCACGAGCACAGUGACCAUGGAUAUAUAUAUUUUAUGUAUCUGUGAAUAGUAACAUUUAUUUUCUCUGUAUUUAUUUAUUAGUUCAGGUUAGGUCUUCUUGUACCUCGCGUUUUUAAAUAUUAGUCCGAA